This 468-nucleotide ribosomal RNA is filed under the name uncultured bacterium. Its description in RNAcentral is "partial 16S ribosomal RNA". It matches the Rfam family "Bacterial small subunit ribosomal RNA", at positions 28 to 507 of the family's 1533-position model. The record is from RNAcentral.
GACGAACGCUGGCGGCGUGCUUAACACAUGCAAGUCGAACGGAAAGGCCCUGCUUUUGUGGGGUGCUCGAGUGGCGAACGGGUGAGUAACACGUGAGUAACCUGCCCUUGACUUUGGGAUAACUUCAGGAAACUGGGGCUAAUACCGGAUAGGAGCUCCUGAUGCAUGGUGGGGGUUGGAUAGUUUCGGCGGUUGGGGAUGGACUCGCGGCUUAUCAGCUUGUUGGUGGGGUAGUGGCUUACCAAGGCGUUGACGGGUAGCCGGCCUGAGAGGGUGACCGGCCACAUUGGGACUGAGAUACGGCCCAGACUCCUACGGGAGGCAGCAGUGGGGAAUAUUGCACAAUGGGCGGAAGCCUGAUGCAGCAACGCCGCGUGCGGGAUGACGGCCUUCGGGUUGUAAACCGCUUUCGCCUGUGACGAAGCGUAAGUGACGGUAAUUGGUGAAGAAGCACCGGCUAACUACGUG